Spea bombifrons (plains spadefoot toad) is the source of this 249-nucleotide long non-coding RNA. RefSeq lists it as uncharacterized. The record is from RefSeq and is a predicted model, not a curated record. The transcript has 2 exons. NCBI's taxonomy places the organism in Eukaryota, Metazoa, Chordata, Amphibia, Anura, Pelobatidae.
AGGAAGCGCUCUGAGGGCAAUGGUGUUCAAUUUUCGUUUGUGCGUGGCGGUUAGCUGGACGCGCCAGAGCAGUGAUGCACAAUAUCGGAUUUGUGAAACGUACCCCCAGCUUUUUUCCCCUUUUAAAGAUCACCGUGUAAGAACUGUACGGAAUAUCGUCAAGGAGGAACUGUCAUGGGGGAAAUUGAAUUAAAAUUGCAUUGAUAAGUACAAUUUUGUAAGCAGUAAUAUAGAUUGGCAUUUAAGAAA